RNAcentral lists this long non-coding RNA (513 nucleotides) under Setaria viridis. Its description in RNAcentral is "long non-coding RNA (SVIR_LNC004000)". The record is from RNAcentral. Lineage: Eukaryota; Viridiplantae; Streptophyta; Magnoliopsida; Poales; Poaceae.
GAGCAUCCGCCUCUUGAUAGAGUUAGGUCGGGUAGAGAGGGAGCUUAAGAAAAAGCGUGGUUAAUAGAUGUGUUGGUACUUUUUGUUCUAAGGGCGACUUGUACCGUGUCGGCCAUGUACCCCGUCGUUCGUACCGAAUAAUAAAUCGGCCAGAUCAGAUGUAUGCUUUGUUAUUCUUAAGGCGAUGUUAUUUUUGCAUCGUCUAUAAGAUCUAAUAGGAGUUGGCUGCGCCAUCUCGAUACAUUCCACCAUUAUUCAUGCAUCGACCCAUAUACUAGGAUAGUACCUCUUCAGAUAUCUUCCGUUCAAGGCCCUCGUGAACUCCUCUCCCUCGAUCGUUUCCAGUAUAUAUGCGUCUCCCGGGGCGCAUCGGCCAAUUUUAUAUGGCCCUUCCCAAGUGGGCGACCAUUUACUGAACUUGGGAUCCUUGGACCAUAUUGGCAGUACCAACUUCCAUACCAAAUCUCCUUGGGAGAAUUGCUUGACUUUGACCUUCUUGUCGUACCACCUGGC